RNAcentral lists this ribosomal RNA (253 nucleotides) under uncultured bacterium. Its description in RNAcentral is "partial 16S ribosomal RNA". It matches the Rfam family "Bacterial small subunit ribosomal RNA", at positions 524 to 776 of the family's 1533-position model. The record is from RNAcentral.
GACAGAGGGGGCAAGCGUUGCUCGGAAUUACUGGGCGUAAAGGGCGCGUAGGCGGGCUGGCAAGUCGGUCGUGAAAUCCCUCGGCUCAACCGAGGAACGUCGAUCGAUACUGCUGUUCUUGAGGAUUGCAGAGGAGACUGGAAUUCCCGGUGUAGCGGUGAAAUGUGUAGAGAUCGGGAGGAACACCGGUGGCGAAGGCGGGUCUCUGGGCAAUUCCUGACGCUGAGGCGCGAAAGCGUGGGGAGCAAACGGG